GCCGGGGUCGCAUAAUGGUAUUGCACUGGUCUCGAAAACCAGCGUCCUUUGGACUUGGGAGUUCGAAUCUCUCCCCCGGCG
This 81-nucleotide transfer RNA is filed under the name archaeon GW2011_AR10. RNAcentral describes it as "tRNA-Ser". It matches the Rfam family "tRNA". From Rfam's summary of the family: Transfer RNA (tRNA) molecules are approximately 80 nucleotides in length. Their secondary structure includes four short double-helical elements and three loops (D, anti-codon, and T loops). Further hydrogen bonds mediate the characteristic L-shaped molecular structure. tRNAs have two regions of fundamental functional importance: the anti-codon, which is responsible for specific mRNA codon recognition, and the 3' end, to which the tRNAs corresponding amino acid is attached (by aminoacyl-tRNA synthetases). tRNAs cope with the degeneracy of the genetic code in two manners: having more than one tRNA (with a specific anti-codon) for a particular amino acid; and 'wobble' base-pairing, i.e. permitting non-standard base-pairing at the 3rd anti-codon position. RNAcentral also lists the same sequence under 1 other name. The record is from RNAcentral.